RNAcentral lists this ribosomal RNA (461 nucleotides) under uncultured bacterium. Its description in RNAcentral is "bacterial SSU rRNA". It matches the Rfam family "Bacterial small subunit ribosomal RNA", at positions 355 to 825 of the family's 1533-position model. The record is from RNAcentral.
UAAGGAAUAUUGCGCAAUGGGCGACAGCCUGACGCAGCGACGCCGCGUGGGGGAUGAAGGUCUUCGGAUUGUAAACCCCUUUCGGCAGGGAAGAUGGAACGGGUAACCGUUCGGACGGUACCUGCAGAAGCAGCCACGGCUAACUUCGUGCCAGCAGCCGCGGUAAUACGAAGGUGGCAAGCGUUGUUCGGAUUUACUGGGCGUACAGGGAGCGUAGGCGGUUGGGUAAGCCCUCCGUGAAAUCUCCGGGCCUAACCCGGAAAGUGCGGAGGGGACUGCUCGGCUAGAGGAUGGGAGAGGAGCGCGGAAUUCCCGGUGUAGCGGUGAAAUGCGUAGAGAUCGGGAGAAGGCCGGUGGCGAAGGCGGCGCUCUGGAACAUUUCUGACGCUGAGGCUCGAAAGCGUGGGGAGCAAACAGGAUUAGAUACCCAUGUAGUCCCUGAGCGGGCUGGCAAGGCGCAU